UAAUACAGAGGGUGCAAGCGUUAAUCGGAAUUACUGGGCGUAAAGAGCACGUAGGUGGGUAUUUAAGUCGAAUGUGAAACCCCUGAGCUUAACUUGGGGACUGCAUGCGAUACUGGAUACCUAGAGUAUAGUAGAGGGAAGUGGAAUUUCCGGAGUAGCGGUGAAAUGCGUAGAUAUCGGAAGGAACACCAGUGGCGAAGGCGGCUUCCUGGGCUAAUACUGACACUGAGGUGCGAAAGCGUGGGGAGCAAACAGG
RNAcentral lists this ribosomal RNA (256 nucleotides) under uncultured bacterium. Its description in RNAcentral is "partial 16S ribosomal RNA". It matches the Rfam family "Bacterial small subunit ribosomal RNA", at positions 521 to 776 of the family's 1533-position model. The record is from RNAcentral.